AGUGAACGCUGGCGGUAGGCCUAACACAUGCAAGUCGAACGGCAGCACAGUAAGAGCUUGCUCUUACGGGUGGCGAGUGGCGGACGGGUGAGGAAUACAUCGGAAUCUACUUUUUCGUGGGGGAUAACGUGGGGAAACUUACGCUAAUACCGCAUACGACCUACGGGUGAAAGCAGGGGAUCUUCGGACCUUGCGCGAUUGAAUGAGCCGAUGUCGGAUUAGCUAGUUGGCGGGGUAAAGGCCCACCAAGGCGACGAUCCGUAGCUGGUCUGAGAGGAUGAUCAGCCACACUGGAACUGAGACACGGUCCAGACUCCUACGGGAGGCAGCAGUGGGGAAUAUUGGACAAUGGGCGCAAGCCUGAUCCAGCCAUACCGCGUGGGUGAAGAAGGCCUUCGGGCUGUAAAGCCCUUUUGUUGGGAAAGAAAAGCAGCAGGUUAAUACCCCGCUGUUCUGACGGUACCCAAAGAAUAAGCACCGGCUAACUUCGUG
RNAcentral lists this ribosomal RNA (492 nucleotides) under uncultured bacterium. RNAcentral's name for it is "partial 16S ribosomal RNA". It matches the Rfam family "Bacterial small subunit ribosomal RNA", at positions 29 to 507 of the family's 1533-position model. The record is from RNAcentral.